Caenorhabditis elegans is the source of this 21-nucleotide non-coding RNA. The record is from Ensembl. Lineage: Eukaryota; Metazoa; Nematoda; Chromadorea; Rhabditida; Rhabditidae.
UAAUUCUUCACAGUCUCCAUU